Molecule: long non-coding RNA, 1448 nt
Organism: Bubalus bubalis (water buffalo)
Lineage: Eukaryota; Metazoa; Chordata; Mammalia; Artiodactyla; Bovidae
Exons: 4
Source: RefSeq, a predicted model, not a curated record
GAAAAAAAAAAAAAAAAAGAUAAAAACCCAGAGAUUGGUUGGCCUAAGGCCUCUUUUCAAAAGCCUCGGGCUAUCUUUGGCCUUUUCAGGACUUUUCUCAGUUGCCCAGUGAGGCGUUGGGUACCUUGGAUGCCAUGCCACAGAGAUGAGGUUGCCGUCCUGGGUGGCUACAAACGUGCAGCAUGGAGAUGCGCAAGUUAAUUAACUUUUCUGAACCGCCAAGUCCUUAUCUGGAAUGCAGGGCAAAGGGCUGGGGUGGGCAGUUAAGAUAUGCUUCCGGCUCCUGGCCUAGCACACGCUGGGUGUCCAAGCAAAGAACAUUAUUUUGUACAAAUGAAAUGUGACAGUGCAGCCCCACAGGGUGCUGGGCGGGUGGGCAAAACUGCCCGCAGAGCGGGCUUUCAAGUGCUAGUCCCCAGUGGCUCAGAUGGUAACGAAUCUGCCUGCAGUGUGGGAGACCCGGGCUCGAUGCCUGGGUCCGGAAGAUGCCCUGGAGAAGGGCACGGCAACCCACUCCAGUACUCCUGCCUGCAGAAUUCCAUGGACACAGAAGCCUGGCGGGCUAUACAGUCCAUGGGGUUACAGAGAGUCGGACACGACUGAGAACUCACUUAAUUCUAUUCCAAGAUCGAUUUGAGGAUCUGGUUGGUUUGGAUGCUGAAGGCUAGAGGUGGGAGGCCUGGUGUCUAAGGUUCACAAGAGUAACCUUCCAGACCAAGGGAAGUCCUGACCCGACGGACUGGCGUCAGGUCAGGAGGUGAUGGCGCCCGCGGGAGGGCAGGAGGGCGGAGACCUCGCCGGAGCCGCCUCCCCGCCCCGGAAAUGGGAGCUUUCUUUACCUGAGGGCAGGUUUCGGUAGAGUAAGCCCUCGGGGUCGCCGGCAGGCCUCCCAACCUGGAAAUCCGCAGAGAUCUGGCAGGGCUUCAGAAAAAGCCUGUUCACCGACCUGCCAGGGAGAGGGUUCAGGAGAACGUGACUGAAGUUUGGUCAAGCACCGAAUCUUGGUCAGCACCGACGGUGGACAUUACCUGGUGUUGAACAGAGCAUCCUGAGGGAAAAGAAGUCGAGGUACCCACCUCUGGCGAGCAGGCCUGGCAGGCCAGGUGCCCGCACCCUGUACUGAUGUAUCGUCAAGGCUUCUCAUGGCCACCUUAAGAGGUCAAAACGGAGACUCCUAAGAGUGCAUUCCCACCAUGAAGCAGACCUAGAACUAGGAAGCCCAGGCUGCCCUCUACUGGUGAUUUCUGGGAAAGACUACAAUGCAGUGGUACCUGACCUGCAACUCAAAGAGGCCAAGAGAACCAGCUCCCAAAGAGCACCCAGAGCAGCUGUCCCUCCUCCAGCCAGGCCCCCCGGUGGAGGGCUGGCAGCAUCCCCAGCGAUCUGAGUGGGUUCUUCCAUCUCUGUCUGGCUGCAGAGGGGCCCAGGACAAUGAGGGCCUCUGGUGC